UACGUAGGGGGCAAGCGUUAUCCGGAUUUACUGGGUGUAAAGGGAGCGUAGGCGGCCAUGCAAGUCAGGUGUGAAAGCCCGGGGCUUAACCCCGGGACUGCACUUGAAACUGUGUGGCUGGAGUACGGGAGAGGCAGGCGGAAUUCUUAGUGUAGCGGUGAAAUGCGUAGAUAUUAGGAAGAACACCGGUGGCGAAGGCGGCCUGCUGGACCGAGACUGACGCUGAGGCUCGAAAGCGUGGGGAGCAAAC
RNAcentral lists this ribosomal RNA (250 nucleotides) under uncultured prokaryote. RNAcentral's name for it is "partial 16S ribosomal RNA". It matches the Rfam family "Bacterial small subunit ribosomal RNA", at positions 524 to 773 of the family's 1533-position model. The record is from RNAcentral.